AGUGAACGCUGGCGGUAGGCCUAACACAUGCAAGUCGAACGGCAGCACAGUAAGAGCUUGCUCUUACGGGUGGCGAGUGGCGGACGGGUGAGGAAUACAUCGGAAUCUACUUUUUCGUGGGGGAUAACGUAGGGAAACUUACGCUAAUACCGCAUACGACCUACGGGUGAAAGCAGGGGAUCUUCGGACCUUGCGCGAUUGAAUGGGCCGAUGUCGGAUUAGCUAGUUGGCGGGGUAAAGGCCCACCAAGGCGACGAUCCGUAGCUGGUCUGAGAGGAUGAUCAGCCACACUGGAACUGAGACACGGUCCAGACUCCUACGGGAGGCAGCAGUGGGGAAUAUUGGACAAUGGGCGCAAACCUGAUCCAGCCAUACCGCGUGGGUGAAGAAGGCCUUCGGGUUGUAAAGCCCUUUUGUUGGGAAAGAAAAGCAGCAGGUUAAUACCCCGCUGUUCUGACGGUACCCAAAGAAUAAGCACCGGCUAACUUCGUG
Molecule: ribosomal RNA, 492 nt
Filed under: uncultured bacterium
Lineage: Bacteria
Description: partial 16S ribosomal RNA
Rfam family: Bacterial small subunit ribosomal RNA
Source: RNAcentral